Molecule: unclassified non-coding RNA, 292 nt
Filed under: Johanseniella sp. CENA33
Lineage: Bacteria; Bacillati; Cyanobacteriota; Cyanophyceae; Nostocales; Nostocaceae
Description: Cylindrospermum sp. CENA33 16S-23S ribosomal RNA intergenic spacer
Source: RNAcentral
CCUUUUUAGGGAGACCUAACCCAUGAAAGACUGAAAAUAUACUAAGUCCUAAUGAGGUCAUCCCAGGUCGUUCGAGAUUGGUAAAGGCUUUCAAAGUAUUAUUGCUUCGGUUUGUGAACUAAGUUAGCAAAGAGCUAAAGUAUUUAGCAACUAACAACAAGUUAGACUGCUGGGUAAGAGCCAGCCAGAACCUUGAAAACUGCAUAAGUAACGCGAUAAAAGCAGGCAGACACAGACAUUAAAGAAAUGAAUGUGGAUGCAAGUGAAAAAGCCAAAGUCAAGUGGUCAAGCU